ACUGGCCGUAUUCGCCUUAUCUGCAAUGUUUUAUCAUGAUAUAUCAAGGGUGAGCAUGAAAGUUGCCUAGCAAAUUUAAAAAUAAGGUAAAGAUAUAUCAUGAUUGAAAGAGUUUGAAUAAUAAGCUGGCUAUCCUUCACAAUGUAGUUGUGAAUUAACAUGAACAAAAUUUCAAAGCUGAAUGAACAUUGAAAAUGAACAUAACAAUUAUAUCUGAACUGACUGGUAAUGAAGGUGAUCAGCCUUUCAUACCUGAUGAAUACAUGCAAUAUGUACAGAGUACAAUUCAUAAAGCAUAUCUGUCUGAAACCACUCUUAAAAGAGUUUAAAUAAAAAGAACUUAAAAAACUUGCAAACUUGCCUGAACCGUUGAUUACCGUAACACAAU
RNAcentral lists this long non-coding RNA (388 nucleotides) under Panax ginseng (ginseng). RNAcentral's name for it is "long non-coding RNA (PGIN_LNC018820)". The record is from RNAcentral. Lineage: Eukaryota; Viridiplantae; Streptophyta; Magnoliopsida; Apiales; Araliaceae.